This 288-nucleotide long non-coding RNA is filed under the name Fukomys damarensis (Damara mole-rat). RNAcentral describes it as "lncRNA (ENSFDAG00000025876.1)". Lineage: Eukaryota; Metazoa; Chordata; Mammalia; Rodentia; Bathyergidae. The record is from RNAcentral.
GGAUGUUCCAAGCAUGGGGUGGGGAAUAUGAAGAGGGAAGGCAUGGUAUGUGUGGACAAUAGUCCAAGUAUAGACCACCAGCAUGGAAUUGGUGUGGUGAUGAUACGUUAUUGUGUCAUUUUCCUGUCCACAAGCACAAUUCGACCUGCAGCACCCUGCGUAGGCAGCCAGUGUGUAAAUUACUGUAGCCCUGGGAUACGCAGCUAAGCAUGAAGUCAGUUGAAUGGAUAUCAGUGAAAUUGAGGUAAGAAGCUCUCCAGCCUGAAAGAAAACAAAUACAUUUCAAAC